UACAGAGGGGGCAAGCGUUGUUCGGAAUUACUGGGCGUAAAGGGCGCGUAGGCGGUCAGCACAAGUCAGUUGUGAAAUCUCCGGGCUUAACUCGGAAAGGUCAACUGAUACUGUGCGACUAGAGUGCAGAAGGGGCAACUGGAAUUCUCGGUGUAGCGGUGAAAUGCGUAGAUAUCGAGAGGAACACCUGCGGCGAAGGCGGGUUGCUGGGCUGACACUGACGCUGAGGCGCGAAAGCCAGGGGAGCGAACGGG
Molecule: ribosomal RNA, 254 nt
Filed under: uncultured bacterium
Lineage: Bacteria
Description: partial 16S ribosomal RNA
Rfam family: Bacterial small subunit ribosomal RNA
Source: RNAcentral